RNAcentral lists this ribosomal RNA (591 nucleotides) under uncultured bacterium. RNAcentral describes it as "bacterial SSU rRNA". It matches the Rfam family "Bacterial small subunit ribosomal RNA", at positions 66 to 663 of the family's 1533-position model. The record is from RNAcentral.
ACGGACCCGGGGGGCAACUCCCGGGUUAGUGGCGAACGGGUGAGUAACACGUGGGUAAUCUCCCCCCGAGUGAGGGAUAAGCUUGCGAAAGCGGGUCUAAUACCGCAUGACACUCCGGGACGUCGGUCUUCGGAGUCAAAGCCGUAAGGCGCUUGGGGAUGAGCCUGCGUCCUAUUAGCUAGUUGGUAGGGUAAUGGCCUACCAAGGCGAUGAUGGGUAGCCGGCCUGAGAGGGUGAACGGCCACACUGGAACUGAGACACGGUCCAGACUCCUACGGGAGGCAGCAGUGAGGAAUUUUGCGCAAUGGGGGCAACCCUGACGCAGCGACGCCGCGUGGAGGAAGACGGCCUUCGGGUUGUAAACUCCUGUCAGAGGUGAAGAAUGCCCGCAAGGGCUUGACGGUAACCUCAGAGGAAGCCCCGGCUAACUACGUGCCAGCAGCCGCGGUAAUACGUAGGGGGCGAGCGUUGCUCGGAAUUACUGGGCGUAAAGGGAGUGCAGGCGGCCGGUUAAGUCGAAGAUGAAAUCCCGAGGCUUAACUUCGGAAUGGUCUUCGAUACUGAUCGGCUUGAGGCUGGUUGAGGAGAGCG